UUCGCAAUGCCCGAAAGGGUGACGAAGCGACGCCGCGUGCGGGAAGAAGGCCUUCGGGUUGUAAACCGCUGUCGGGAGUUAAGAAAUGUAAGGAUGUUAAUAGCAUCUUUGCUUGACUAAGGCUCCGGAGGAAGCCACGGCUAACUUUGUGCCAGCAGCCGCGGUAAUACAGAGGCGGCAAGCGUUGUUCGGAAUUAUUGGGCGUAAAGAGCACGUAGGCGGCUAUGUAAGUCGGUUGUGAAAGCCUUCCGCUCAACGGGAGAACAGCAUCCGAUACUGCAUGGCUUGGGUGCGGGAGGGGAGAGUGGAACUUCUGGUGGAGCGGUGAAAUGCGUAGAUAUCAGAAGGAACGCCGGCGGCGAAAGCGGCUCUCUGGCCCAUAACUGACGCUGAGUGUGCGAAAGCUAGGGGAGCAAACGGGAUUAGAUACCCCGGUAGUCCUAGCCGUAAACGAUGGGCACUAAGUAGAGGGGUUUU
RNAcentral lists this ribosomal RNA (477 nucleotides) under uncultured bacterium. Its description in RNAcentral is "bacterial SSU rRNA". It matches the Rfam family "Bacterial small subunit ribosomal RNA", at positions 365 to 832 of the family's 1533-position model. The record is from RNAcentral.